This 442-nucleotide ribosomal RNA is filed under the name uncultured Bacillota bacterium. Its description in RNAcentral is "bacterial SSU rRNA". It matches the Rfam family "Bacterial small subunit ribosomal RNA", at positions 917 to 1359 of the family's 1533-position model. Lineage: Bacteria; Bacillati; Bacillota. The record is from RNAcentral.
GGGCCCGCACAAGCAGUGGAGUAUGUGGUUUAAUUCGAAGCAACGCGAAGAACCUUACCAGGGCUUGACAUCCUACUGAUGAAGUAGAGAUACAUUAAGUGCCCCUUCGGGGGAAAGUAGAGACAGGUGGUGCAUGGUUGUCGUCAGCUCGUGUCGUGAGAUGUUGGGUUAAGUCCCGCAACGAGCGCAACCCUUAUGGUUAGUUGCUACGCAAGAGCACUCUAGCCAGACUGCCGUUGACAAAACGGAGGAAGGUGGGGACGACGUCAAAUCAUCAUGCCCCUUAUGUCCUGGGCUACACACGUACUACAAUGGCGGUCAUACAACGGGUUGCGAAAUCGCGAGAUGGAGCUAAUCCCCAAAAGCCGCCUCAGUUCAGAUUGCAGGCUGAAACUCGCCUGCAUGAAGUCGGAAUUGCUAGUAAUCGCGGAUCAGAAUGCCG